AUUGAACGCUGGCGGCAGGCCUAACACAUGCAAGUCGAGCGGAGCGGCGGACGGGCGAGUAAUGCCUAGGCAGCUGCCUGGCCGCGGGGGAUAACGUCCGGAAACGGGCGCUAACACCGCAUACUAUCAGAUGAGCCCAGGUAGGAUUAGCUAGCUGGUGGGGUAAAGGCAUACCAAGGCGACGAUCCGUAACUGGUCUGAGCGGAUGAUCAGUCACACUGUAACUGAGACACGGUCCAGGCUCCUACGGGAGGCAGCAGUGGAGAAUAUUGGACAAUGGGCGAAAGCCUGAUCCAGCCAUGCCGCGUGUGUGAAGAAGGUCUUCGGAUUGUAAAGCACUUUAAGUUGGGAGGCGUUACCAACAGAAUAAGCACCGGCUAACUUCGUGCCAGCAGCCGCGGUAAUAC
RNAcentral lists this ribosomal RNA (407 nucleotides) under uncultured bacterium. RNAcentral's name for it is "partial 16S ribosomal RNA". It matches the Rfam family "Bacterial small subunit ribosomal RNA", at positions 30 to 526 of the family's 1533-position model. The record is from RNAcentral.